This 932-nucleotide ribosomal RNA is filed under the name uncultured bacterium. RNAcentral's name for it is "bacterial SSU rRNA". It matches the Rfam family "Bacterial small subunit ribosomal RNA", at positions 28 to 965 of the family's 1533-position model. The record is from RNAcentral.
AACGAACGCUGGCGGCGUGGAUAAGACAUGCAAGUCGCACGGGACCAGGUUUGUAGCAAUACAGGCUUGGCUCAGUGGCGCACGGGUGCGUAACACGUGAGCAAUCUGCCGGGAAGUGGGGGACAGCUCGCCGAAAGGCGAAUUAAUACCGCAUGUGGCCAUUCCUUGAUUAAGGGAAAAGCCAAAGCAGCAAUGCGCUUCCUGAUGAGCUCGCGGCCUAUCAGCUAGAUGGCGGGGUAAAGGCCCAACAUGGCUAUGACGGGUAGCUGGUCUGAGAGGACGACCAGCCACACUGGAACUGAGAUACGGUCCAGACACCUACGGGUGGCAGCAGUCGAGAAUUUUUCACAAUGGGGGCAACCCUGAUGGAGCGACGCCGCGUGGAGGAUGAAGGCCUUCGGGUUGUAAACUCCUGUCAUGCGGGAACAAGCAAGUGAUAGUACCGCAAGAGGAAGAGACGGCUAACUCUGUGCCAGCAGCCGCGGUAAUACAGAGGUCUCAAGCGUUGUUCGGAUUCAUUGGGCGUAAAGGGUGCGUAGGUGGUGACGCAAGUCUGGUGUGAAAUCUCGGAGCUUAACUCCGAAAUUGCACCGGAUACUGCGUAACUCGAGGACUGUAGAGGAGAUCGGAAUUCACGGUGUAGCAGUGAAAUGCGUAGAUAUCGUGAGGAAGACCAGUUGCGAAGGCGGAUCUCUGGGCAGUUCCUGACACUGAGGCACGAAGGCCAGGGGAGCAAACGGGAUUAGAUACCCCGGUAGUCCUGGCAGUAAACGGUGCACGUUUGGUGUGGGCGGGUUCAGACCCCGUCCGUGCCGGAGCUAACGCGUUAAACGUGCCGCCUGGGAAGUACGGUCGCAAGAUUAAAACUCAAAGAAAUUGACGGGGGCCCGCACAAGCGGUGGAGUAUGUGGCUUAAUUCGAUGCAACGCGAA